CUCCCUUGCGGAAAACGAUUCCUCUCAUUUCUAUUAUCCUCUUUCUCUCAAAACCCUAAACCGUCGCCAAUCAUAAUAAUCAGAUUCUGCAAGUUCUUUAUCUUCUUUAUUGUCCUUUAUUGAUUUUAUUGGUAAUUAUGAUUUCUUCUUGCAUUUUUUUUAUCUCGACAAUCAAUUAUGUCCCAAUUUAACAAAUUUUUCUUUUGGUCUUCUUACAGUAAAAUUUGAUGUGAUGAAGAGGGCAAUGCCAUGGGAUGAUCAUGAUGAGGCAAAUGAUUCAUCAUCUUCUGACGAAUCUUCAUCUUCAAAUCCGGACUCUGAAGCUGAAGAUGGACCUCCCAACACCAAGCUUAAGAACUCAUCACAAGGUGUUACAGUUUACUCUCCUUUCCUCCUUUUUCCCCUUCAUUUUUAUGCUUUUCCUUCAUUUUUGACAUUUUACUGAAUUGAAUGGAAUGGAUAUUUUCCUCGAUUUUGAUUCUUUUGGUACGUAAAUUAGAAUAAAUAUUAUAGAAGAAUGCUUGUGUUUAUUACAAUAAAUAUUAUUGAAACUAUGGUUAUUCUGAAUAGCUGAAUCAUAAUUUUGCUUGCUAGAGGGUGGUACUGCCAUUUGUGUUUAUAGCUGUGCAACAAAGGGGCGAAACCAUGUCACCUUAUUUAUAUGAGAACAAACUCUGAAGACUGCUGGUUUACUUGAUGUUUCUAAAUAUUGCCAUUAGCAUUGUACUGAUUAGGCUAGAUUUAUAUAAACUCAUAUAUUAUUAUAGAUUGCUGAAUUUUCCUUAUUGUUGUGCCCCUUUAAGUUUAAAUAUAUUCUUUGAUUUUUUGACUAAAAGAAAAGGCAUACCUGG
Molecule: long non-coding RNA, 851 nt
Filed under: Gossypium barbadense (sea-island cotton)
Lineage: Eukaryota; Viridiplantae; Streptophyta; Magnoliopsida; Malvales; Malvaceae
Description: long non-coding RNA (GBAR_LNC018419)
Source: RNAcentral